This 1198-nucleotide ribosomal RNA is filed under the name Sardia rostrata. Its description in RNAcentral is "SSU rRNA". It matches the Rfam family "Eukaryotic small subunit ribosomal RNA", at positions 640 to 1773 of the family's 1831-position model. The record is from RNAcentral. Lineage: Eukaryota; Metazoa; Arthropoda; Insecta; Hemiptera; Delphacidae.
CUGUGUCUUCGACGCCGGUUCACCGCCUGUCGGUGCCACUGGCGUUUUGCGGGACGUCCUGUCGGUGGUGUGUCAGGAAUCUUAGUUGUGCUAUGCUCUGCUUAGUGCAGCUCUGGUUUCGGGCCACUUUCAUAAUCCCGCCGCGGUGCUCUUAAUCGAGUGUCGAGGCGGGCCGGCACGUUUACUUUGAACAAAUUAGAGUGCUUCAAGCAGGCUUGUCACGCCUGUAUACUGUGUGCAUGGAAUAAUGGAAUAGGACCUCGGUUCUAUUUUGUUGGUUUCCGGAAUCUGAGGUAAUGAUCAAUGGGGACAGGCGGGGGCAUUCGUAUUGCGACGUUAGAGGUGAAAUUCUUGGAUCGUCGCAAGACGGACCGAAGCGAAAGCAUUUGCCAAGUAUGUUCCCGUCGAUCAAGAACGAAAGUUAGAGGUUCGAAGGCGAUCAGAUACCGCCCUAGUUCUAACCAUAAACAAUGCCUGCCAGCGAUCCGCCGGCGUCCCUCCGAUGACCCGGCGGGCAGCUUCCGGGAAACCAGAGCUUUUGGGUUCCGGGGGAAGUAUGGUUGCAAAGCUGAAACUUAAAGGAAUUGACGGAAGGGCACCACCAGGAGUGGAGCCUGCGGCUUAAUUUGACUCAACACGGGAAAACUCACCAGGCCCGGACACCGGAAGGAUUGACAGAUUGAUAGCUCUUUCUUGAUUCGGUGGGUGGUGGUGCAUGGCCGUUCUUAGUUGGUGGAGCGAUUUGUCUGGUUAAUUCCGAUAACGAACGAGACUCUAGCCUACUAACUAGACGUAUCUGGUAUCAGCAAUCGUGCUACCAGCGAUCAUAUCUCUUCUUAGAGGGACAGGCGGCUUCUAGCCGCACGAGACUGAGCAAUAACAGGUCUGUGAUGCCCUUAGAUGUCCUGGGCCGCACGCGCGCUACACUGAAGGAAUCAGCGUGUCUUCCCUGUCCGAAAGGACCGGGUAACCCGCUGAACCUCCUUCGUGCUUGGGAUUGGGGCUUGCAAUUGUUCCCCAUGAACGAGGAAUUCCCAGUAAGCGCGAGUCAUAAGCUCGCGUUGAUUACGUCCCUGCCCUUUGUACACACCGCCCGUCGCUACUACCGAUUGAAUGAUUUAGUGAGGUCUUCGGACCGGUGCGCGGAGGCGGUUCUCUGCUCCCGAUGUUGUCGGAAAGAUGACCAAACUUGAUCAUU